Molecule: long non-coding RNA, 570 nt
Organism: Hirundo rustica (Barn swallow)
Lineage: Eukaryota; Metazoa; Chordata; Aves; Passeriformes; Hirundinidae
Exons: 3
Source: RefSeq, a predicted model, not a curated record
GUAGUAAUUGCUUGUUCAUGUAUUAGUGAAAUGAGCUCUCACCAUAUAUAUACUCUAUCAAUGGGUUUGCCCUGUUUUUCCAAAAGUUAUUUUUCCAUGUUCUCAGCAAUCACUCCUCUGAUAGACCCCAGCAGCUCAGCAGGACAUCCCAGGGAGCAUCAGCUUCCAGACUGCAUUUUCAGAGGAGUACCUGCAACUGCAUUGCUGCUCUACCUGCAGCUCUCUGCCCAUACUGCUGGCCAGGCUUCACUUUUAAUCUGCUGCACAGAAAACCUGACUGCGAGGAUGCUCAGGUUUGAGCUCUCAAACAGCCCCACCUGUCUCUUCAUCAAACACCCCCACCUGUGUCUCUCUCAAGUUUAGCAUCACUUCUUCACUACAAAGUAAAAGGCAUUUCAACUGGAACUUCUGGCUGUCACCCUUAUAAAAAAUACUGCUGUCCCAUUUGUUCUUUGUAGAUGGAGUAGGAAAAGCUUCAAUAUUUCUAAGGUUUGAAAAAGUUUCACAUCGAUCCUGUGAAACUCAUCUGAAUAGAUGUGAUUAAACUCACAGCUGAUGGCACUUAGCCCG